RNAcentral lists this transfer RNA (73 nucleotides) under Atopobacter sp. AH10. It matches the Rfam family "tRNA". From Rfam's summary of the family: Transfer RNA (tRNA) molecules are approximately 80 nucleotides in length. Their secondary structure includes four short double-helical elements and three loops (D, anti-codon, and T loops). Further hydrogen bonds mediate the characteristic L-shaped molecular structure. tRNAs have two regions of fundamental functional importance: the anti-codon, which is responsible for specific mRNA codon recognition, and the 3' end, to which the tRNAs corresponding amino acid is attached (by aminoacyl-tRNA synthetases). tRNAs cope with the degeneracy of the genetic code in two manners: having more than one tRNA (with a specific anti-codon) for a particular amino acid; and 'wobble' base-pairing, i.e. permitting non-standard base-pairing at the 3rd anti-codon position. The record is from Rfam by way of RNAcentral. Lineage: Bacteria; Bacillati; Bacillota; Bacilli; Lactobacillales; Carnobacteriaceae.
GCCGAAAUAGCUCAGCUGGCAGAGCAACGCACUCGUAACGCGUAGGUCGCAGGUUCGAUCCCUGUUUUCGGCA